Molecule: long non-coding RNA, 583 nt
Organism: Salvelinus sp. IW2-2015
Lineage: Eukaryota; Metazoa; Chordata; Actinopteri; Salmoniformes; Salmonidae
Source: RefSeq, a predicted model, not a curated record
UCUGAAGAACAGCAACAUACAGACAAGCUCCAUCUUUCUUACUUYCUAGGCCCUGGAUAAAGAUAAGUCUGAAAUCCGGUUAUGCUGAUGGAGUUCGAAAACCUGUUGCCAUGGGGACAGCAGCCAGCUCCUGCCACUCUCUGAGGCUGAGACUAGACRGUGGGUGUGUAAGAGACCAGCGAGAGCCAGUCAUCAUCUCAACUAGCAACUUCUCUCUCUACAUAUUGAUGUAUGCUGAAGAAGUAACAAGGGUUAGUUAGGUGUUCGAGGUUAUUUGUUCCCAGUAGGUCAAACAUGUUGAUCCGAAUCSUGCAGCCUGAAAGAACAUGCAUUCACGGACUCACCAGUCAAAGCACUUAGUGCGCAUGCAAACACAGGAAUGAGAUCAAUUGCUUGGCUUGGAUGAUUUGUCUUUGAAUUCAUCCUGCUCAUUGCAUUAUACAUGUCGAAUAUAAUGCAAUCACUUUUCCCUGACAUUGCAAAGGCGUGUGUUUAAACCGUCUGAGAAGUGGGGGGUUGUUCCAGCCUUGUACUAAAACACCUUAUUCCAUAAAUCAAGGGUUUGAUGAUUGGUUGAAAAAGA